This 679-nucleotide ribosomal RNA is filed under the name Salmonella enterica subsp. enterica serovar Oranienburg. RNAcentral's name for it is "bacterial SSU rRNA". It matches the Rfam family "Bacterial small subunit ribosomal RNA", at positions 83 to 758 of the family's 1533-position model. The record is from RNAcentral. Lineage: Bacteria; Pseudomonadati; Pseudomonadota; Gammaproteobacteria; Enterobacterales; Enterobacteriaceae.
CUUUGCUGACGAGUGGCGGACGGGUGAGUAAUGUCUGGGAAACUGCCUGAUGGAGGGGGAUAACUACUGGAAACGGUGGCUAAUACCGCAUAACGUCGCAAGACCAAAGAGGGGGACCUUCGGGCCUCUUGCCAUCAGAUGUGCCCAGAUGGGAUUAGCUUGUUGGUGAGGUAACGGCUCACCAAGGCGACGAUCCCUAGCUGGUCUGAGAGGAUGACCAGCCACACUGGAACUGAGACACGGUCCAGACUCCUACGGGAGGCAGCAGUGGGGAAUAUUGCACAAUGGGCGCAAGCCUGAUGCAGCCAUGCCGCGUGUAUGAAGAAGGCCUUCGGGUUGUAAAGUACUUUCAGCGGGGAGGAAGGUGUUGUGGUUAAUAACCGCAGCAAUUGACGUUACCCGCAGAAGAAGCACCGGCUAACUCCGUGCCAGCAGCCGCGGUAAUACGGAGGGUGCAAGCGUUAAUCGGAAUUACUGGGCGUAAAGCGCACGCAGGCGGUCUGUCAAGUCGGAUGUGAAAUCCCCGGGCUCAACCUGGGAACUGCAUUCGAAACUGGCAGGCUUGAGUCUUGUAGAGGGGGGUAGAAUUCCAGGUGUAGCGGUGAAAUGCGUAGAGAUCUGGAGGAAUACCGGUGGCGAAGGCGGCCCCCUGGACAAAGACUGACGCUCAGGUGCGAAA